UUCCCUUUUUCUAUUCUGUAACAAGAGUAUUUAUUUUUGCCUAUAAAUAGGCUGCUCUAAAUCACUCAAUUUGUCAAUCAAAACACAUUUAAUUAAAGAUUCUUCAGGGCCCUUAUUGCUGCCUCUCCCUCAAGGGCUUCUCUCCUGCAUGCUUAUAUGUUGGGAAAGAAGCUCUAGCAGGGAGAGCCAAUAACAAGUGUCUUGUUUAACAACUUAUGUUGCUCUUCACAGUUCACAGGACAGUCUUUUUUCACUCUCCCUCAAAGGCUUCUGGCUUAAAAUGCCUUUUGUGCUAAUGCUAGAGGUCUUUCGAGUGAGAGUGAAUAAAUUCUGCCAUGAUAUAUAUAAUUGCAGAAUUAUGACUCAACAAAGAAACUGUUCUUCUUCAGGGCUCACGUGAACCUAAUAGCCUUAUAUAUGUAUUAAGAAAUUUAUUAAAUAUCUAUUAGUUACAGUAAUAUUUGACUGUGAAAUUCACCUCUUUUCUUUUGCCUUCUGAUUCCUAUGCAGUUAAGGUGGAUCAACGCUGUACAAUUGGCGGAAAAGUGCUCUACGAUCACGAUCAAGAGAGAGAGGAAUGAGGAUCUAGUUUUAACCCUGAAUUUUUUUAUCUUAAGGCUUAACUGAGUAAAGCU
This 635-nucleotide long non-coding RNA is filed under the name Solanum tuberosum (potato). RNAcentral's name for it is "long non-coding RNA (STUB_LNC002207)". The record is from RNAcentral. Lineage: Eukaryota; Viridiplantae; Streptophyta; Magnoliopsida; Solanales; Solanaceae.